Biomphalaria glabrata is the source of this 1135-nucleotide long non-coding RNA. RefSeq lists it as uncharacterized. NCBI's taxonomy places the organism in Eukaryota, Metazoa, Mollusca, Gastropoda, Planorbidae. The record is from RefSeq and is a predicted model, not a curated record. The transcript is spliced from 3 exons.
AAACACCUGGCCAUCAGUCACAGCCAACUAUUUGUGUCUUUGUAAUACCACAACUUCAUCGAUAUGCCAGAAUGUGACGUAUUACACAGAACCACCAACGAACAAUACUCUUUCCAGUAUUCCGUGCUCAGAGCCAAGCACUACCACCACUACCAUAUCUACAACCACAGCCCAAAGUCCUUCCUCAUUACCAGUGCUCACGGUCAAUGACAUCUACACCCAGGCAGUACUUACAGCUUCCAACUUUAUCAGACUCAACGUCACUCUGUCCAGAUGUUACACCGGCGCCCUGUACGCUCCACUCAGCUCUAUUGUCCAGCUGAUAGACUGCUGCGCCCUCUGCGCCAAAUACUCCUCAUGUAAAGGGAUCAACUACCACCCAACUGGCCGAAUUUGUGACCUCAUCACUGAGCUAACUGACCUCAUCGGCACCAACCUGCUAAAACCGGUUCCAGAUUGCACGUACUGGAAGGUUAUAUAUAGAUGGUGACCUUGCCGUGACGCAAAGAUUGCAGACGUCACGUGAACAAUGAAAAUUAAAAAUUACAUUUUAACUCUUUCUCUCCUAACUGACGAUACAAAUGUUGAUUAUACCAGAAUGUGGUAAAUAAUUAAGGAGAGAAAGAGUUAAGAAAUGUGGAAAUCCACAGGGAUUUUUUAAAAAAGGCAUACAAGAAAUCUGACAGAAUCAAAGCUGGACUUAGCUUAACUGUUGCUAGUUUUUAAAAAGUCUUUAAAAAUCUGUAUUAACUUGUAUAGUAUCAUUAUGAAAAUAUCUUCAUUGUCUAUUAUGUAGAGGUCUGUGGAAUUUGUACUGAUCAGAAGAUGGGUUGUUUGUUUUCUUUACGCGAAGUUUUUUUAUUACUUGUGAGUUUGUAGCAAUAAAAUACAGACCAAGACACAAUAAAGUGAAUCAACAGAAUAUGAACUUUUAAUCCAGGGACAGGAACAGUCUCGUCCCAGUCACUAUAAUAAACGAUGUUUUUCUAUAAAGGCCAAGCCUCAACUGUCUGUUUAUCUAUAUCUACCAUCUAGUCUCGUUUUGAAUAUAGGCCGUCAUAAAUGAGCGCUUAUUGACAGUCAUCAAAAGUGCGUCUCUACAAUUAUCACACAAAGAGGGUAUUUUUCAAUUCGA